AUACGGAGGGUGCAAGCGUUACUCGGAAUCACUGGGCGUAAAGGACGCGUAGGCGGGUUGUCAAGUCAGGUGUGAAAUCCUACAGCUUAACUGUAGAACUGCACUUGAAACUGGCAACCUAGAGUAUGGGAGGGGGAGAUGGAAUUAGUGGUGUAGGGGUAAAAUCCGUAGAUAUCACUAGGAAUACCUAAAGCGAAGGCGAUCUCCUGGAACAUUACUGACGCUAAGGCGUGAAAGCGUGGGGAGCAAACAGGAUUAGAUACCCUGGUAGUCCACGCCCUAAACGAUGAACACUAGUCGUCGCGAUGCUUGUCAUUGCGGUGAUGCACUUAACAGAUUAAGUGUUCCGCCUGGGGAGUACGGUCGCAAGAUUAAA
Molecule: ribosomal RNA, 376 nt
Filed under: uncultured bacterium
Lineage: Bacteria
Description: bacterial SSU rRNA
Rfam family: Bacterial small subunit ribosomal RNA
Source: RNAcentral